GUUGGAAACGACUGUUAAUACCGCAUAAUAUCUGUGGAUUAAUGGUGGCGUUCGGGCGGUCGCAGAUGGAUGAGCCUGCGUUGGAUUAGCUAGUUGGUGGGGUAAGGGCCCACCAAGGCUACGAUCCAUAGCGGAUUUGAGAGGAUGAUCAGCCACAUUGGGACUGAGACACGGCCCAAACUCCUACGGGAGGCAGCAGUGGGGACUCUUGGACAAGGGGGGCACCCCUGAUCCAGCAAUGCCUGGUGUG
This 250-nucleotide ribosomal RNA is filed under the name Francisella tularensis subsp. holarctica. Its description in RNAcentral is "partial 16S ribosomal RNA". It matches the Rfam family "Bacterial small subunit ribosomal RNA", at positions 149 to 405 of the family's 1533-position model. The record is from RNAcentral. Lineage: Bacteria; Pseudomonadati; Pseudomonadota; Gammaproteobacteria; Thiotrichales; Francisellaceae.